GCAUAUCAAUAAGCGGAGGAAAAGAAACUAACAAGGGAUUUCCCCUAGUAACUGCGAGUGAAGCGGGAUGAGCUCAAAUUUAAAAUCUGGCGUCUUCGGCGUCCGAGUUGUAAUUUAGAGAAGCGUUUUCCGCGCCGGACCGUGUACAAGUCUCCUGGAACGGAGCGUCAUAGAGGGUGAGAAUCCCGUCUUUGACACGGACCCCCGGUGCUCUGUGAUACGCUCUCGAAGAGUCGAGUUGUUUGGGAAUGCAGCUCAAAAUGGGUGGUGAACUCCAUCUAAAGCUAAAUAUUGGCGAGAGACCGAUAGCGAACAAGUACCGUGAGGGAAAGAUGAAAAGCACUUUGGAAAGAGAGUGAAACAGUACGUGAAAUUGUUGAAAGGGAAACGCUUGAAGUCAGUCGCGUCCGCCAGGAUUCAGCCUCACGGUGUACUUUCUGGUGGACGGGCCAGCAUCACUUUCAAUCAUCGGACAAGGUCGAGAGGAAUGUGGCACCUUCGGGUGUGUUAUAGCCUCUUGUCGUAUACGGUGACUGGGAGUGAGGACCGCCUUUGUAGGAUGCUGGCGUAAUGGCUUUAAACGACCCGUCUUGAAACACGGACCAAGGAGUCUAACAUGCCCGCGAGUGUUUGGGUGGAAAACCCAUGCGCGUAAUGAAAGUGAAAGUUGGGAAGGCUGUCGCGGCCUGCACCGACGCCCGGACUCGAGAUUUAUCUAAGGUUCUGCGGUAGAGCGUGUAUGUUGGGACCCGAAAGAUGGUGAACUAUGCCUGAAUAGGGUGAAGCCAGAGGAAACUCUGGUGGAGGCUCGUAGCGAUUCUGACGUGCAAAUCGAUCGUCAAAUUUGGGUAUAGGGGCGAAAGACUAAUCG
RNAcentral lists this ribosomal RNA (871 nucleotides) under Peniophora laeta. Its description in RNAcentral is "LSU rRNA". It matches the Rfam family "Eukaryotic large subunit ribosomal RNA", at positions 38 to 937 of the family's 3401-position model. The record is from RNAcentral. Lineage: Eukaryota; Fungi; Basidiomycota; Agaricomycetes; Russulales; Peniophoraceae.